RNAcentral lists this ribosomal RNA (696 nucleotides) under uncultured bacterium. Its description in RNAcentral is "bacterial SSU rRNA". It matches the Rfam family "Bacterial small subunit ribosomal RNA", at positions 54 to 745 of the family's 1533-position model. The record is from RNAcentral.
CAUGCAAGUCGAACGGUAACAGAAAAAGCUUGCUUUUUGCUGACGAGUGGCGAACGGGUGCGUAACGCGUAUGCAACCUACCUUCUUCUAAGGAAUAGCCCAGAGAAAUUUGGAUUAAUACCUUAUGAUAAUAUUUAUUCGCAUGUUUAAAUAUUUAAAACUCCGGUGGAAGAAGAUGGGCAUGCGUAACAUUAGUUUGUUGGUGAGGUAAUGGCUCACCAAGACUACGAUGUUUAGGGGGUCUGAGAGGAUGAUCCCCCACACUGGUACUGAGACACGGACCAGACUCCUACGGGAGGCAGCAGUGAGGAAUAUUGGUCAAUGGACGAAAGUCUGAACCAGCCAUGCCGCGUGAAGGAUGACGGCCCUACGGGUUGUAAACUUCUUUUGUAUGGGAAGAAACCCCUCUACGUGUAGAGGGUUGACGGUACUAUUCGAAUAAGCACCGGCUAACUCCGUGCCAGCAGCCGCGGUAAUACGGAGGGUGCGAGCGUUAUCCGGAAUUAUUGGGUUUAAAGGGUGCGUAGGCGGAAAUUUAAGUCAGUGGUGAAAGCCUGCAGCUAACUGUAGAAUUGCCAUUGAUACUGGAUUUCUUGAAUCUAAUAGAAGUAGGCGGAAUAUGACAUGUAGCGGUGAAAUGCUUAGAUAUGUCAUAGAACACCGAUAGCGAAGGCAGCUUACUAUGUUAGUAUGACG